Molecule: ribosomal RNA, 415 nt
Filed under: bacterium Ellin5124
Lineage: Bacteria; Pseudomonadati; Pseudomonadota; Alphaproteobacteria; Hyphomicrobiales; Nitrobacteraceae
Also listed under: 2 other names
Description: bacterial SSU rRNA
Rfam family: Bacterial small subunit ribosomal RNA
Source: RNAcentral
AGCGAACGCUGGCGGCAGGCUUAACACAUGCAAGUCGAGCGGGCGUAGCAAUACGUCAGCGGCAGACGGGUGAGUAACGCGUGGGAACAUACCUUUUGGUUCGGAACAACACAGGGAAACUUGUGCUAAUACCGGAUAAGCCCUUACGGGGAAAGAUUUAUCGCCGAAAGAUUGGCCCGCGUCUGAUUAGCUAGUUGGUAGGGUAAUGGCCUACCAAGGCGACGAUCAGUAGCUGGUCUGAGAGGAUGAUCAGCCACAUUGGGACUGAGACACGGCCCAAACUCCUACGGGAGGCAGCAGUGGGGAAUAUUGGACAAUGGGGGCAACCCUGAUCCAGCCAUGCCGCGUGAGUGAUGAAGGCCCUAGGGUUGUAAAGCUCUUUUGUGCGGGAAGAUAAUGACGGUACCGCAAGAAU